GUAGGGAAUAUUGCACAAUGGGGGAAACCCUGAUGCAGCGACGCCGCGUGAGUGAUGAAGGCCUUCGGGUCGUAAAGCUCUGUCGUAUGGGACUAACACAAUGAAGGUACCAUGCAAGAAAGGAUCGGCUAACUUCGUGCCAGCAGCCGCGGUAAGACGAGGGAUCCUAGCGUUGUUCGGAAUCAUUGGGCGUAAAGCGGGUGUAGGCGGAUUUAUAAGUCAGGUGUGAAAUCCCAGGGCUCAACCCUGGAAGUGCACUUGAUACUUUAAAUCUUGAGUGUGGUAGAGGUUACUGGAAUUGUUGGUGUAGUGGUGAAAUACGUAGAUAUCAACAGGAAUACCGGAGGCGAAGGCGAGUAACUGGGCCAACACUGACGCUGAGACCCGAAAGCGUGGGGAUCAAACAGGAUUAGAAACCCGAGUAGUCC
This 428-nucleotide ribosomal RNA is filed under the name uncultured bacterium. Its description in RNAcentral is "partial 16S ribosomal RNA". It matches the Rfam family "Bacterial small subunit ribosomal RNA", at positions 354 to 796 of the family's 1533-position model. The record is from RNAcentral.